GGGUGGUUUGCUUAGGCGCAGACGGGGAAGCGGAGCCAACAUGCCAGUGGCCCGGAGCUGGGUUUGUCGCAAAACUUAUGUGACCCCGCGGAGACCCUUCGAGAAAUCUCGUCUCGACCAAGAGCUGAAGCUGAUCGGCGAGUAUGGGCUCCGGAACAAACGUGAGGUCUGGAGGGUCAAAUUUACCCUGGCCAAGAUCCGCAAGGCCGCCCGGGAACUGCUGACGCUUGAUGAGAAGGACCCACGGCGUCUGUUCGAAGGCAACGCCCUGCUGCGGCGGCUGGUCCGCAUUGGGGUGCUGGAUGAGGGCAAGAUGAAGCUGGAUUACAUCCUGGGCCUGAAGAUAGAGGAUUUCUUAGAGAGACGCCUGCAGACCCAGGUCUUCAAGCUGGGCUUGGCCAAGUCCAUCCACCACGCUCGCGUGCUGAUCCGCCAGCGCCAUAUCAGGGUCCGCAAGCAGGUGGUGAACAUCCCGUCCUUCAUUGUCCGCCUGGAUUCCCAGAAGCACAUCGACUUCUCUCUGCGCUCUCCCUACGGGGGUGGCCGCCCGGGCCGCGUGAAGAGGAAGAAUGCCAAGAAGGGCCAGGGUGGGGCUGGGGCUGGAGACGACGAGGAGGAGGAUUAAGUCCACCUGUCCCUCCUGGGCUGCUGGAUUGUCUCGUUUUCCUGCCAAAUAAACAGGAUCAG
This 687-nucleotide unclassified non-coding RNA is filed under the name Hevea brasiliensis (rubber tree). Lineage: Eukaryota; Viridiplantae; Streptophyta; Magnoliopsida; Malpighiales; Euphorbiaceae. The record is from RNAcentral.